AUAUUUCUGAAAGGAGCCUCCAGGGAGAGACGCGAGCAUUGCACUGCGCUUGUGUUGACCCCUGCCACUACCCCAAACUGGGGCACAUGGGGGAUGCAAUUUUUGGUAGUGGGGGACUGCGUUCGCGCUAUCCCCCU
RNAcentral lists this small nuclear RNA (137 nucleotides) under Haemaphysalis longicornis (longhorned tick). Its description in RNAcentral is "U1 spliceosomal RNA". It matches the Rfam family "U1 spliceosomal RNA", at positions 22 to 166 of the family's 166-position model. Rfam says of the family: U1 is a small nuclear RNA (snRNA) component of the spliceosome (involved in pre-mRNA splicing). The record is from Rfam by way of RNAcentral. Lineage: Eukaryota; Metazoa; Arthropoda; Arachnida; Ixodida; Ixodidae.